Molecule: long non-coding RNA, 168 nt
Organism: Ficedula albicollis (Collared flycatcher)
Lineage: Eukaryota; Metazoa; Chordata; Aves; Passeriformes; Muscicapidae
Exons: 3
Source: RefSeq, a predicted model, not a curated record
AGAACCUGCUGUUUUUCUGGUGGCUGAAUAACUGUGGUCCUGAGGAUGAAGCUUCAUAAGCCCUAUUGUAGAAGCCCGAAGCAGUAACCCUCAGCUGCAGCUCUGCAGAGAAGUGCUGCAGUGCUGCUGGAGGAGUGCCAGCUGAACGCCAGCUUACAGUGAUCUGCA